CGCGGACUCGAUUCUUUCUUACUCUCGUCGCUCGAGCUGUCAUCCUCGAAGUCGAGAUUUCGAAUCAUCGAUCGCGAAUUGUGAUUUGUUGAGGGAUUCGAGCCCGUCGAUCGGCGAUCGCCCUGACCCAACGGGCCAUAUUUCAGUGCCGGCAUAACAAGGACUGUAGUAUGUGAACUUUCCUGAGCUGUCGCAAACCGGUCGAAAAUCGGAAUCUUUUGAGCAACGACAAUUCUUGUUGCAGUAUUUCAACAGUCCAUUGCUAUACGAAAAUAGUUUUGUAACAUCUUAUUCAAGCUGAUAUUGAAAUAACUCGCAUUGAAAGAGCGUUUUAUCUUUAUGCAUAUUAAGAGAAGCCUCGAUUAAUCUUACUGGUGAUUAGUCUAGACGACAGAGGAUCGCUAAAUCCAAGGAGCAUUCCUGUCGGUCUUGAAUGACGGCCAAAAAUCGGAGCUACCCACCUUCUGAGCGCUCGUUCGAUGAGGUGCUCGAUUAUUUAUAGCAGACUGAUCAAAAAGUGAAGCUGCAGCUUGCUCGACAACCUAAAAUAAAUUUUAUGUAAAGCCAAUUAAUUACCACUGAGGGUAAUCUUCGGGGAAACCACGAGAGUAACAAACCAGGGAUCACCAAUAAUAUAGAUAAGAUCGGAAAUCCAAGCCACCAUGCUCCGAUUUGAUCCUGAUAUGAUUUUAUGAUGUCGAAAUUUUCCGCGUCUAUCCUAAACGAAUCGAUAAGUCAAAAAAUAAAUAUGCAUUUUUUUCUGUACAUUAUAACAUACAAUUAAUUUACAAGUAUAUUCAAUUUUGAAGAAUUUUAAGGCAUACAUUACAAUAAUAAUUAUUUAUUUAUUCGAAAAUAUGUCAAACUUACCCAAGACAUCCCCAGCCUAGAAAAUAUCCGAAAACUACUCCAAUAAUUUUUACAGCGACAAUUACACCGAUGAAGGCGGUCACGUGCUUCAUUUUUGUAUUAUCGUCCAAAUAGGAAAUUCCUAGGGCGUAAUAUGAUAUAUUUGCUGCUCCAGUUACAAUCGAUACUAAAAUCAGGAUGGCCAUAGUAAAGUAGCAAGAGCUUUACAUCCCGAGCAUACUGACCGGCAUAUAAUGACAUGUGAGUGACAUUAAGCGUUUCUUCAAUCACGCGAACGCGAUGUGUUAAAUGAGGUAUUAUCAAUAUGAAGAACGAAACGCUCUGUAAAAGGGUUAAAGCUCCUAUC
Molecule: long non-coding RNA, 1216 nt
Organism: Cataglyphis hispanica
Lineage: Eukaryota; Metazoa; Arthropoda; Insecta; Hymenoptera; Formicidae
Exons: 6
Source: RefSeq, a predicted model, not a curated record